This 160-nucleotide small nuclear RNA is filed under the name Myotis lucifugus (little brown bat). RNAcentral describes it as "U2 spliceosomal RNA". It matches the Rfam family "U2 spliceosomal RNA". Rfam says of the family: U2 is a small nuclear RNA (snRNA) component of the spliceosome (involved in pre-mRNA splicing). Lineage: Eukaryota; Metazoa; Chordata; Mammalia; Chiroptera; Vespertilionidae. The record is from Rfam by way of RNAcentral.
AUGGCUUCUCAGCCUCAUGUGCAGUAUCUGUUCUUAUCAGUUUAAUAUCUGAUACGUCCUCUAUCCCAGGACAUUAUAGUAUUAAGAUAUAAUCUUAAAGGCACAGAUAUUCUUUUAGAAAAUGAAUGUAAACAUUACCCAUUUAAAAGUUUCAGGCUCA